AUUGAACGCUGGCGGCAGGCCUAACACAUGCAAGUCGAGCGAGCGGCGGGCGGGUGAGGAAUGUAUGGGGACUGCCCGAUAGAGGGGGAUAACUACUGGAAACGGUAGCUAAUACCGCAUACUAUCCGAUCACCCAGAUGGGAUUAGCUAGUAGGUGGGGUAAUGGCUCACCUAGGCGACGAUCCCUAGCUGGACUGAGAGGAUGAUCAGCCACACUGGGACUGAGACACGGCCCAGACUCCUACGGAGGCAGCAGUGGGGAAUAUUGCACAAUGGGCGCAAGCCUGAUGCAGCCAUGCCGCGUGUAUGAAGAAGGCUUUAGGGUUGUAAAGUACUUUCAGUAGGGAGGCGUUACCGACAGAAGAAGCACCGGCUAACUCCGUGCCAGCCGCCGCGGUAAUAC
RNAcentral lists this ribosomal RNA (403 nucleotides) under uncultured bacterium. Its description in RNAcentral is "partial 16S ribosomal RNA". It matches the Rfam family "Bacterial small subunit ribosomal RNA", at positions 30 to 526 of the family's 1533-position model. The record is from RNAcentral.